GACGAACGCUGGCGGCGUGCUUAACACAUGCAAGUCGAACGGAAAGGCCCUGCUUUUGUGGGGUGCUCGAGUGGCGAACGGGUGAGUAACACGUGAGAAACCUGCCCUUGACUUUGGGAUAACUUUAGGAAACUGGGGCUAAUACCGGAUAGGAGCUCCUGCUGCACGGUGGUGGUUGGAGAGUUUCGGCGGUUGGGGAUGGACUCGCGGCUUAUCAGCUUGUUUGUGGGGUAGUGGCUUACCAAGGCUUUGAAGGGUAGCCGGCCUGAGAGGGUGACCGGCCACAUGGGGACUGAGAUACGGCCCAGACUCCUACGGGAGGCAGCAGUGGGGAAUAUUGCGCAAUGGGCGGACGCCUGAUGCAGCAACGCCGCGUGCGGGAUGACGUCCUUCGGGUUGUAAACCGCUUUCGCCUGUGACGAAGCGUGAGUGACGGUAAUGGGUAAAGAAGCACCGGCUAACUACGUG
Molecule: ribosomal RNA, 468 nt
Filed under: uncultured bacterium
Lineage: Bacteria
Description: partial 16S ribosomal RNA
Rfam family: Bacterial small subunit ribosomal RNA
Source: RNAcentral